GGCCACCAUACUUUCCUGCCCGGUUAAGGGGGUCCCCCCGAGACAAAUAUCCCAAAAUCGGCCCGAUCGGACCCUCGCGAGCCGUGUCCACGAAACCGCUAGGCCAAACCCAUUCAAAUAAAUUGCAGGUGGGAUUUUUUUAGAAACGUCCCAGGAGCCCGAAACUUGGCUCGGUGGCUCCUGGGGGCCCCCAGAGCGUGCAGUCAAAAGCGCGGGGCCCUAGUGCGAUGCACUUUUUUUCGCAAGGUCCUACGGCUACGUGCUUCGGGGCCUCGGGUGAGGGGCCCCUGAGAUGCCAGAAUCUCAAAUCUCGGGGCCCUAUGACCUUUAGUCUCCGAACGGUGAACGUCCCACCUCCAAUUUAAACGCGUACCAGUUUGGUGGAAGUGCGCUCCCUUUUAUGACCUUUUGACCCCUAAAGAUGGUCGUUUGGCCACCAUACUUUCUCGCCCGGUUAAGGGGGUCCCCCCGAGACAAAUAUCCGAAAUUCGGCCCGAUCGGACCCUCGC
Cyprinus carpio carpio is the source of this 509-nucleotide long non-coding RNA. Lineage: Eukaryota; Metazoa; Chordata; Actinopteri; Cypriniformes; Cyprinidae. The record is from Ensembl.